UAUAGGUAAUAUUCCUCCUUUUUAUCCUGGUUAAUUAGAAGAAAUACAUCCCAUUUUUAUACGUGUCUACCUAUCAUUAAUUCCUUUACGGAAGAAUACAUUUAAAUUUCCCGGGGAUUUUCAAUGAAGUUUUCUGAUUGGUUAAUGAAAGACCAAUGAGCAUGCGAAAUGACACGGACGUACACACAAAAAAGGCCUUAUAUUUUUUUACUAUAGUAAGAUAAGAUAAGAGAAUAUUGAAGGUUAGGAAACGUGGUCUUGAUCAAUUAAUUACCUAUUAUUGUCUACCGCGUCAAUACCACCUACCCCCUCCCUGCUGAAUCUUGCAGGACUGGAUUAAAGGAGAGAAGAGAAACAAUGGCACGCAGUGAUGAAAAGUUGCAUGAUGAGGAACUGAGUAGGCUGAUUGGACAUCAGGUAGUUUUGUGGAUCGACUAAAUAUAUAUAUAUUUUUUUUGUUUAAAUUAAUAUAAUUUUUUGUGAAAAUUUGAAUAAAGAGGAUGUUUCAAGCGA
Molecule: non-coding RNA, 513 nt
Organism: Bemisia tabaci
Lineage: Eukaryota; Metazoa; Arthropoda; Insecta; Hemiptera; Aleyrodidae
Source: RefSeq, a predicted model, not a curated record